Molecule: non-coding RNA, 30 nt
Filed under: Homo sapiens (human)
Lineage: Eukaryota; Metazoa; Chordata; Mammalia; Primates; Hominidae
Source: RNAcentral
UUGUCCUACAUGGUGCGUGAGCUCCUCAUC